UAUCAGGUAUACAUCUUUUUGCAAAAUGAGGAAAAAAAAUUACUGAAAUUAAGAUGCUCAUGAACUGACCCUAAUGGAAAAAUAUUACUUGAAUAAUGAAUAAUAGGAAAAGUGUGCCCAAAAUAUAGACAGAUCAAAGAACAACUAAUGAGAGGAAAAUAUAAAGCCAAAGAAGCUCAAGAGAGUAGAGGAAAAGAAGCAAUAUUUUACAUAUACAAUAAAUACAUAGUAUGGACAUAGAGUGCAUGGGAACUAUAUAUUAAUUAUCUCCCUA
Molecule: long non-coding RNA, 274 nt
Filed under: Ananas comosus (pineapple)
Lineage: Eukaryota; Viridiplantae; Streptophyta; Magnoliopsida; Poales; Bromeliaceae
Description: long non-coding RNA (ACOM_LNC020348)
Source: RNAcentral